RNAcentral lists this ribosomal RNA (446 nucleotides) under uncultured bacterium. Its description in RNAcentral is "partial 16S ribosomal RNA". It matches the Rfam family "Bacterial small subunit ribosomal RNA", at positions 338 to 795 of the family's 1533-position model. The record is from RNAcentral.
CCUACGGGGAGCAGCAGUCGAGAAUCAUUCACAAUGGGGGAAACCCUGAUGGGGCGACGCCGCGUGGGGGAAUGAAGGUCUGCGGAUUGUAAACCCCUGUCAUGUGGGAGCAAAUUAAAAAGAUAGUACCACAAGAGGAAGAGACGGCUAACUCUGGGCCAGCAGCCGCGGUAAUACAGAGGUCUCAAGCGUGGUUCGGAAUCACUGGGCGUAAAGCGUGCGUAGGCUGUUUCGUAAGUCGUGUGUGAAAGGCGCGGGCUCAACCCGCGGACGGCACAUGAUACUGCGAGACUAGAGUAAUGGAGGGGGAACCGGAAUUCUCGGUGUAGCCGUGAAAUGCGUAGAUAUCGAGAGGAACACUCGUGGCGAAGGCGGGUUCCUGGACAUUAACUGACGCUGCGGCACGAAGGCCAGGGGAGCGAACGGGAUUAGAUACCCCUGUAGUC